This 828-nucleotide long non-coding RNA is filed under the name Mytilus galloprovincialis (Mediterranean mussel). Lineage: Eukaryota; Metazoa; Mollusca; Bivalvia; Mytilida; Mytilidae. The record is from RNAcentral.
GUAAUAUUUUCUGGAGACAAUAUAUUUUAAACGCUAUUAAACAAGAUCAAGGUUUCAGUGGCGUAGCACAAGACUGAGUGUAGCAUUGUAAGCAUGACAUUAUUGUGCUAGCAAAUAAUUUUACAAAACACUUUUUUCAAUAAAAUGUUCACUAUAAUCGUUCAGCUUAUUAUGCGCUGCCACCUCCCUUGCUUACAUUUUGCUUAUGGUUUAAAAAAAAAUCUAUUUUGAUGUGAAAUUAACAUUUUUAUCACUUCCCUUUUACAACCAAAAAAGGGGGAGGGUAGAUUUUUUCCCCAGAAAUCCAUAUACAAACUUACUAGGAUAUUUUCCAAAAGUCCUACAAUCUUUACUUAAACAAAAUAUUACAGGAAGUAUAUUCUCCACAUCUUAACGUACUUAGAAAUAUUUUCGGAACCGCAAUAUAUCUCACUGAGUAUAUAAGGUAAUAUGAAAAAAUAAUAAAAUACCAUUACGAGUAAGGUAUUAUAAAUGCCUUAUAUAACCGACGAAUUCCAUGGGGGUGUAGCAGUGGGGACUUCUGAUUGCCGUAACAGUGAUUCUAAACAAUCAACCUAAUUGUGUCAACAAAAUGGAGGUCCAUGCUCCCCCUUAUGAAAGAAAUCCGCUUCUGAUUUUGUCCCUGUAAGUGAUUUUUUUUAGGGUAUGUCCUACAUCUUUAGAAUAAAACUGAAUUGAAAAUUCAAAUGACGCAUCCCCCCCAAAAAAAUAACCCCCACACACGUAUUAGAUAGAAUACAAAGGUAACAAAGAAACAGGCCGGUAACAACCGUUGCCGGAUAGUUUUUCUGCACGAGUAGUCAGAUC